This 534-nucleotide ribosomal RNA is filed under the name Pantiala illusa. RNAcentral's name for it is "partial 16S ribosomal RNA". It matches the Rfam family "Bacterial large subunit ribosomal RNA", at positions 1845 to 2635 of the family's 2925-position model. The record is from RNAcentral. Lineage: Eukaryota; Metazoa; Arthropoda; Insecta; Coleoptera; Curculionidae.
AUUUUAAGUCUGACCUGCCCAAUGAUUAAUUUUAAAUGGCUGCGGUAAUUUGACCGUACAAAGGUAGCAUAAUCAUUAGUUUUUUAAUUAAAAGCUUGUAUGAAAGGUUUGAUGAAAAAAUGGCUGUCUCUAUUUGAUUUUUUUAGAAUUUUAUUUUUAAGUAAAAAAGCUUAAAUAUAUAUAAAAGACGAGAAGACCCUUUAGAGUUUUAUAAUUUAAUAAAUAAAUAAAAAUUUAGAAUUAUAAUAUUUAUUUUUGAGAAUUAUUUAAUUGGGGUGAUUUAAAAAUUUAUUUAACUUUUUAUUUUUUUUAAUCAUUAAUUUAUGAAUAAGUGAUCCUUUUUUAAAGAUUAUAAGAUAAAAUUACCUAAGGGAUAACAGCGUAAUUAUUUUUUARAGUUCAUAUUAAAAAAAUAGAUUGCGACCUCGAUGUUGGAUUAAAGAAAAUUAUUGGUGUARAAGCUAAUAAAUUAGGUCUGUUCGACCUUUAAAACUUUACAUGAUCUGAGUUUAAACCGGUGUGAGCCAGGUCGGU